RNAcentral lists this unclassified non-coding RNA (329 nucleotides) under soil metagenome. RNAcentral's name for it is "partial contains 5.8S ribosomal RNA, internal transcribed spacer 2, and large subunit ribosomal RNA". The stretch from base 1 to 120 matches the Rfam family "5.8S ribosomal RNA", at positions 35 to 154 of the family's 154-position model. The record is from RNAcentral.
GAUGAAGAACGCAGUGAAAUGCGAUAAUUAAUGUGAAUUGCAGAAUUUAGUGAAUCAUCGAAUCUUUGAACGCACAUUGCGCCCCUUGGUAUUCCGGGGAGCAUGCCUGUUCGAGCGUCAUUACAACCCUCAAGCUCUGCUUGGUGUUGGGCCCCGCCGCCCCGGCGGGCCCUAAAGUCAGUGGCGGUGCCGUCCGGCUCCGAGCGUAGUAAUUUUUCUCGCUUUGGAGGCCCGGGCGCGUGCUUGCCAUCAACCCCCAAUUUUUUUCAGGUUGACCUCGGAUCAGGUAGGGAUACCCGCUGAACUUAAGCAUAUCAAUAAGCGGAGGA